Molecule: non-coding RNA, 24 nt
Filed under: Arabidopsis thaliana (thale cress)
Lineage: Eukaryota; Viridiplantae; Streptophyta; Magnoliopsida; Brassicales; Brassicaceae
Source: RNAcentral
AUGACGGUUACCAGGCUAUUACCA